This 512-nucleotide ribosomal RNA is filed under the name Staphylococcus aureus. RNAcentral's name for it is "bacterial SSU rRNA". It matches the Rfam family "Bacterial small subunit ribosomal RNA", at positions 8 to 495 of the family's 1533-position model. The record is from RNAcentral. Lineage: Bacteria; Bacillati; Bacillota; Bacilli; Caryophanales; Staphylococcaceae.
AGAGUUUGAUCCUGGCUCAGGAUGAACGCUGGCGGCGUGCCUAAUACAUGCAAGUCGAGCGAACAGAUAAGGAGCUUGCUCCUUUGACGUUAGCGGCGGACGGGUGAGUAACACGUGGAUAACCUACCUAUAAGACUGGGAUAACUUCGGGAAACCGGAGCUAAUACCGGAUAUGAUUUUGAACCGCAUGGUUCAAUAGUGAAAGACGGCCUUGCUGUCACUUAUAGAUGGAUCCGCGCCGUAUUAGCUAGUUGGUAAGGUAACGGCUUACCAAGGCAACGAUACGUAGCCGACCUGAGAGGGUGAUCGGCCACACUGGAACUGAGACACGGUCCAGACUCCUACGGGAGGCAGCAGUAGGGAAUCUUCCGCAAUGGGCGAAAGCCUGACGGAGCAACGCCGCGUGAGUGAUGAAGGUCUUCGGAUCGUAAAANCUCUGUUAUNCAGGGAAGAANCAAANCGUGUAAGUAACCUGUGCACGUCUUGAGCGGUACCCUGAUCAGAAAGCCCGA